Molecule: long non-coding RNA, 2263 nt
Organism: Scleropages formosus (Asian bonytongue)
Lineage: Eukaryota; Metazoa; Chordata; Actinopteri; Osteoglossiformes; Osteoglossidae
Source: Ensembl
ACACGAGUCAGCAAGGCCUCUGUAAUUUCCCCUUUUUUGUGGUUAUUUGAUUUAAAUAAAAACUCCCUCUCUUCAAGGAAGUCAGUUUUGCACUCGCUUAUGGUCUUCAAAGGAUUUGGUUCCUUCUUAUGCACCUACUGUAUAAGAUGAUCACAAUUUUUGCAUUAAUUCCAUGGAUCACUCUGUCUGUGGUGACAGAGCUGAGUGCUGCAGUCAGUUCUGUUGAUCGGUUUGUGCUGAAAGGAAACUCUACUAACCUCACAGUGGAGGGACUACAAACAGAGAAUGUCCGGAGACUUUCAUGGAAAGUAAACUCAACGCUUAUACUGGAGUACAACCUGAAGGAAAAGAAAGAGACGUACUUUGGCAGUUUUGAGCAGAAGACAAAUUUUAACCCCACAGACUACUCUCUGUACAUUAAGAACCUGAUGGAGACAGACAUUGGUCUCUACUCUGCUGAAAUUCUUGACAAUAAUGGAAAAUCCACCUAUCACACGAAGUAUAACUUACAUGUCCUGGGUAAGUUGGAUUUUUGCAACCUGAUCAUUUGUGUCUCUUACGGCUGGUAAUGUGAUCGGUGAGGACGAUUCUGAUAUGUUCCAUCUGGUUCUGUGCUGUUUCACAGAAGCUGUACCCAAACCCAUCCUAAAUCUGAUGUUACUCCAUCUCAACUCCUCUGGAACAGUUUGCAAUGUGUCAGUGAACUGCUCAGUUGGACACAGCUGGGUCUCCUGCACCUGUGAUCAGGACCAGUGUAAACAUGUGGAACUCCAGUCAGAUGUGAACAUCAGUGUCACUGCUAACAAGGGUACCAUCACCUGUACAGGCAGCAAUCUGGUCAGCAGUGCAAACCAGUCAAAAGCGAUGGAACCUCUAUGUGUUCAAUCCCCCCUUACAGGUUCCUCUGCAUUCAUGGGUAUCAUUGCAUCCGUUUUGGCAGUUUUCGGGGUUGUAUUAAUAUGUGUCAUAUCGCUGGUUAGAAGAUCCAUGAGGUCUUCAAGCCAUUCUGUAUCACAGAACAUCGGAACUGAGCAAAACACUAUAUACUCCACUCCGGAGAACCCAAGCACACACUGCCCUCUAAAUGUCAACCAAGAGACUGAUCAAACUGUGUACUGCACUGUGAUGCAGAGAAAUAACCAAGGGUCCAACGCUACAGUACCUCCAAGCCACGAUGGUGAUAUUACUAUAUACAGUAUGGUGAAAAAAUGACCUGGACCUCCUAACUUGAUGUAAGGGUUUAAAGCAUAUCAACUGUGACACAGAGUGCAGUUUAGUAGGUUGAAUGGUAGGGCAGCAGGUAGCUCUCACCGCACCUGGACCGUCUGAGUGAUACUGGAUUCGAAUCCAUCCCAGUUUGUAUGGAGUUUGCAUGUUCUCCCAUAUUCCAAAGACAUGUUUUUUUUGGAGAAUGUCUUUUGCGACCCUGUAAUGGACUUGAUUCUGUUGGUCAAAGGUGGAAUGACAGUACAGGGUUUAUGGCCCUAUCAGGACACCAUGGUUUUGUAUUAAUUUUAGUUAUUAUAUUUUGUCAUGUCUUAUAAAGGUGAGCUAUGCUUUAUUGUUAAAGGUGUUUACAGAGAAAGAGAGAAAUUGGGUUCUAACCUUGUUCAGUUUGUGUGUGUGAGUUUGUAUGUUCUCCCCAUGUUCACAUGGGUUUUCUCCCAUGGUCCAAAGACAUGUGUUUCAAGUGAAUUGGUGAUCCUAAUUGCCCAUAACAUCAGAAACUGGUAAUUCAGAACUGGUAUCAAAGCCAGGGUGGUAACGGUUGAUGUCAGGAAGGGGAUCGGCAACAAAAAAACCUCAGCUCCAGCUGAAACUUAAAAUGCUGCAGAUUCUGGAGGUUCAAAAUUCAAACUGGGUUCUAGAAAAAGCAGUGAAACUAAAUAGUACUAGUAGAAUAUUAAAUUUGUUUCCCUGGUACUGAUGUGAGACACCUUUGAUUGUAAUACAGAGAAUGUUACCUAUUUUAAGGUAUAGAAUGGAAGGUCUUGAGACUGCAUUUACAUUAUUAUUGUGUCUGGAUUAAUGAAGAGCAAAAAACUGUUCUUUAAAAACAAGUGUACAAAGUUUAGUGUAGUGUAUCUGGAAUAGUCACCUUGGAUGACCAUGGAUGACAUCAGGAAAACAUUAGUUAAUCAUUGAAUCUACUUUGAAGAAAAGUGUCUGGUAAAUGUAAAUGAUUGUCCCUUUAUGUGCCACUAAUUUGGAAUUUAUAUGCUUGUGAUACUGUUCAGUUAGAAUAAAAACCUGUUGUAAACCA